AUGCCGCGUGAGUGAAGAAGGCCUUCGGGUUGUAAAGCUCUUCAGCCGGAAAGAAAGCGCAUGGGUGAAUAACCUGUGUGGAUGACGGUACCGGAAGAAGAAGCACCGGCUAACUACGUGCCAGCAGCCGCGGUAAUACGUAGGGUGCGAGCGUUAAUCGGAAUUACUGGGCGUAAAGCGUGCGCAGGCGGUUUUGUAAGACAGAUGUGAAAUCCCCGGGCUUAACCUGGGAACUGCAUUUGUGACUGCAAGGCUAGAGUACGGCAGAGGGGGGUAGAAUUCCACGUGUAGCAGUGAAAUGCGUAGAUAUGUGGAGGAAUACCGAUGGCGAAGGCAGCCCCCUGGGUCGAUACUGACGCUCAUGCACGAAAGCGUGGGGAGCAAACAGGAUUAGAUACCCUGGUAGUCCACGCCCUAAACGAUGUCAACUAGGUGUUGGGGGGGAGACUUCCUUAGUACCGCAGCUAACGCGUGAAGUUGACCGCCUGGGGAGUACGGUCGCAAGAUUAAAACUCAAAGGAAUUGACGG
This 529-nucleotide ribosomal RNA is filed under the name uncultured bacterium. Its description in RNAcentral is "bacterial SSU rRNA". It matches the Rfam family "Bacterial small subunit ribosomal RNA", at positions 394 to 916 of the family's 1533-position model. The record is from RNAcentral.